UCCGUAGGCGGUUUAAUAAGUCAGUGGUGAAAGCCCAUCGCUCAACGGUGGAACGGCCAUUGAUACUGUUAGACUUGAAUUAUUAGGAAGUAACUAGAAUAUGUAGUGUAGCGGUGAAAUGCGCAGAUAUCAGGAGGAACACCGAUGGCGAAGGCAGGUCUCUGGGCAGUUACUGACGCUGAGGAGCGAAAGCAUGGGUAGCGAACA
Molecule: ribosomal RNA, 207 nt
Filed under: uncultured bacterium
Lineage: Bacteria
Description: partial 16S ribosomal RNA
Rfam family: Bacterial small subunit ribosomal RNA
Source: RNAcentral